Molecule: long non-coding RNA, 800 nt
Filed under: Phoenix dactylifera (date palm)
Lineage: Eukaryota; Viridiplantae; Streptophyta; Magnoliopsida; Arecales; Arecaceae
Description: long non-coding RNA (PDAC_LNC018109)
Source: RNAcentral
GCGUUGCACGUGAGGGCACACAGUGAGGAGGUGGAGGGGAUCCAUCCCGAAGAAGCCGGGAUCCCCUGUUUUAGGGCAUUCUCCUCCUCCCCUUUGAGACCAUUCGAGGUAGAGCCGCCACACCUGAGUUCUUCCUCCUCAGGCUGCCGGCAGAGAGAGAGAGAGAGAGCGAAAGAGAGAGGGAGAUAGAGGGCUUUGGGUCUUCUUCGGUACGAGGGGUCUUCUUCUUCCUUACCGCCGGAGAGGAAGAAAGCCGCCGGACUUUCGUCGGGGCUGAGGUAAGGCCUUCUCCUCCUCUCUUGGUGAUUAGCCAUGAUGUGUUGAGGUUUUGGAGCCGGCCAAUCGCCGGAAACUUGGGUCCAAAAAUCGGUCGGCCGAGUGCUCCGCCACUGGCCUUGUUCACCGCCGGGAGUGGCCGGGCUUGCUCCGCCACCUCCUGCCGCUGUCAGAGCCGGCCACCACGGCCGCCCUUGGGCCCGACCGAGAGGGAAGAAGAAGGGGGCAGGGGGGUCACGGAUCCCCUGUUUCGCCGAAGGGGAAGGAAGAAAGAAGUCGGGGGAAGUUUCUGGAGAAGAAGAGAAGAAAAGAAAAAGAAAAGGAAAGGAAAGAAAAGAAAAAAAAAGAAAAGAAGGAAAAAGAAAAAAAAGAAGAAAAGAAAGAAAAAAAAAGAAAAAAAAAGAAAAGAAGAAGGAAAAAGAAAAAAAAUGAAUAAAGAGAGUGGGUGGUUUACGGGUAUGAACCCGAACUCAGGGUGCUAGGCACUUCUGUAGGAUCAGCCAUGGGAGAAUAUUAAAAUUUAA